UGAGGAAUAUUGGUCAAUGGCCUAACGGCUGAACCAGCAACUUGGAGGAAUGUAUAGCAAUUGCUAAUUGUAUCAAUAAAAUAUUGGCACAAUAUCGACUUAGUCGAAUAAAAUUCUAGGUAAAACUAUGAUAAUGACAUUAUUUACCUAUAUGUCUUGACCAAAUUACGUGCCAGCAGUCGCGGUAAUACGUAGAAGACUAGUGUUAUUCAUCUUUAAUAGGUUUAAAGGGUACCUAGACGGUAAAUAAAGCCUUAACUGGGACUAAUUUACUAGAGUUAAAUGUGAGGGAGUUUUAAUGUACUAGAGGUGAAGAGAUGAAAUUCUGUCAUACCUUUUUUCUUUAGAAAAAACUUGGCACAGGUAUAGGUGAAAACAUCUCCUUAUGUAAUAACUGACGUUGAGGGACGAAGGCUUUUUAUCGCGAACAGGAUUAGAUACCCUGGUAGUCAAAGCAGAAAAUGAUGAGUGUCAUAGAUUAGAUAACUAUUUAUUCUAUAAAUGAAAGUGUAAGCACUCCACCUCAAGAGUAAUUUGGCAACAUUGGAACUGAAAUCAUUAGACCGUUUCUGAAACCAGUAGUGAAGUAUGUUGUUUAAUUUGAUAAUCCGCAAAGAACCUUACCACAACUUGAAUGUUUAUGUUUAUAACAUAGAUACAAGUGUUGCACGGCUGUCUUCAGUUAAUGUCGUGAGACUAUGGUUAGCUCCAUUAAAUUAACGUAAACCCUUGCUUUAUUUUUAAAUAGAGCAGUUCUCCACUAUAUUGGAUAAGAUAACAGGGACUAAGACAAGUCAUCAUGGCCUGAAUGUUGUGGGCUAUA
Molecule: ribosomal RNA, 823 nt
Filed under: Micarea elachista
Lineage: Eukaryota; Fungi; Ascomycota; Lecanoromycetes; Lecanorales; Micareaceae
Description: SSU rRNA
Rfam family: Bacterial small subunit ribosomal RNA
Source: RNAcentral